UAGAGAGACGACGAAAGAACAAACCCUAGCUUCAUAGUUUCUGGAGAACCAAUUUGAAUCAGUGUUGAGAGGGUGGCGAAGUGAUGAAUCGGAAGGUAUGAUUCCGUUUUUGUUAUAAGUUAUAUAACAGUUUAGUUGAUUAAGUAUGAAGAUCUAUUAUAGUUGAUUAAGUAUGAAGAUCUAUUAUAGUUGAUCGCAGAUCUAGUGUUGUUUAUCAGAAAUCCAAUCUUGUUUAUCGGAAAUCCAGAUCUAGUGUUGUUUUACCUGUAAUCCGCUCUAGUAAUCUGAGAUCCAUAGAUUUAUGGAUUUUUGUUUGAAAUCGAAAGAAUUACUAAUUUUUUUGUAUCGUCUUCUUUAAGUGAGUUAAUAUUCCUGUUUUCGUCGUAGCUGGGAAGUGGAAAUCUACGACAGAAAGCAAGUGGGAUUUUAUAAUAGAAAAUGAUUGCUUCGCAAGGAGCAUUUGUACAUGUGCUGAGAUGACUUUUACUGAAUUACAAAGUUAUAUAGCUUCAUUGUUUCACUUUGAUGCGAAGACCUGGAAACAAAACUUGAGUUAUUGGCUUCCAAAGCAGAGGUCAAUCUUUUCUGCACGGAAAAGGCCUCCAGUCUGUUUGAAUAACACCAUGGCGUUGAAGAGCUUCAUGAUGGUUAAGGAAAUGGAGCCACGUUUAAACUUGUGCCUCUCCUUUGAGGCCAUGCAGGAUGAUGAACCCUAGAAACAACUUGUUUGUGAGCUUGGGGAAAGUUCUAACAAUGGCAAAGACGACGCAACCAUCCUUGAAAAUGUACUUACUGAGUUCAGAAUUGUUAAGGAUAAUGACUGCACCAACCAACUAGAACUUGAUCUUAUGUAAUAGGUAAGCUCCAAAAGGCCACUUAUUACUAGAACUAUCAUAGAUGAGCUUAAGUAUUUAAGAAGCGAACAUGUAGGCUCAUAGAAGGGCUCGAGUUUAGAUACUUAGGUGAACCAAUCAAACCUGAUAUUAAUGCAUGUUUAUGAUUAGAGAUUUGUGGGCUAGCGUCGUAAUCCUUAGUUAUUAGGCAUAGUUAGUAAUGUGGACUAGUGUUGGUUGCUUUACUUUAGUGAUCUGAGUUCUAGAACGGUUCGAUAACAAUCCUAAUCAUAAUUAAAUCUACUAGUUAUCUAAUUUUUGAGAAUAUCUCUAGACUUGACGCUUUUCUCCCUCUGAUUUACAACUUGAUAUUUAAUGCUUUCUUGUCUUUUUAUCUAUAAUCUCUUGGUUUAGCUUAACUCGAAACCUUUGUCUAUUAUGUGAUUGCAUUGCAAGAAAACAUGUGAUAUUCCAACAAAUGCUUUCAAUAAUCGUAUUUUGUUAAAAGUUUCUUACCGAUAUCCUAUAAAAUUG
This is an RNA transcript of Arabidopsis thaliana (thale cress), 1367 nucleotides long. RefSeq lists it as uncharacterized. Lineage: Eukaryota; Viridiplantae; Streptophyta; Magnoliopsida; Brassicales; Brassicaceae. The transcript has a single exon. The record is from RefSeq.